Molecule: long non-coding RNA, 354 nt
Organism: Schistocerca serialis cubense
Lineage: Eukaryota; Metazoa; Arthropoda; Insecta; Orthoptera; Acrididae
Exons: 3
Source: RefSeq, a predicted model, not a curated record
AGGAGGGCCUCCGGUUGCAGAAGACGAACUGCAGUCUGGACGCGAUGGGAGGGACCUGCCCCGUCAAAGUCUACGAGCGCCACUUCCCGCCUCAGCGACCAGAGCAGAUAGCAAGCCGAUACCCCUGGAAAACAACGUUAGCGAAGUGUAUAAUCCAGCGUCUUGGUAUUAUCUGCGUCCACCGCUUCGUCCAUCUAGGGGCUAAACCACGACGCAAGAAGGUGGAUGAGCUCUUACCAACCAACAACCUCACUGACGUACAACGGCUACUGACAAUUCCAGGCCUGUUGCUGUUCACCACCGUAGUAAUGAUAACAUCUUCACUAAUAAAUGCAGACUAUUUGCUACGAUAUC